Molecule: ribosomal RNA, 408 nt
Filed under: uncultured bacterium
Lineage: Bacteria
Description: partial 16S ribosomal RNA
Rfam family: Bacterial small subunit ribosomal RNA
Source: RNAcentral
GACGAACGCUGGCGGCGUGCUUAACACAUGCAAGUCGAACGAAGUGGCGAACGGGUGAGUAACGCGUAAUCAACCUGCCAUUCAGAGGGGGACAACAGUUGGAAACGACUGCUAAUAACGCAUACUGAAGGAGGGGAUUGUGUCUGAUUAGGUAGUUGUAGGGGUAACGGCCCACCAAGGCGAUGAUCAGUUGCCGGUCUUGGAGGAGGAACGGCCACAAUGGGACUGAGACAAGGCCCAGAAUCCUACGGGAGGCAGCAGUGGGGAAUCUUCCGCAAUGGACGAAAGUCUGAAGGAGCAACGCCGCGUGAGUGAUGACGGGCUUCGGGUUGUAAAGCUCUGUUAAUCGGGACGCGGUACCGGAAUAGAAAGCCACGGCUAACUACGUGCCAGCAGCCGCGGUAAUUC